Molecule: ribosomal RNA, 356 nt
Filed under: uncultured Nostoc sp.
Lineage: Bacteria; Bacillati; Cyanobacteriota; Cyanophyceae; Nostocales; Nostocaceae
Description: bacterial SSU rRNA
Rfam family: Bacterial small subunit ribosomal RNA
Source: RNAcentral
AGCAGUGGGGAAUUUUCCGCAAUGGGCGAAAGCCUGACGGAGCAAUACCGCGUGAGGGAGGAAGGCUCUUGGGUUGUAAACCUCUUUUCUCAGGGAAGAACAAAAUGACGGUACCUGAGGAAUCAGCAUCGGCUAACUCCGUGCCAGCAGCCGCGGUAAUACGGAGGAUGCAAGCGUUAUCCGGAAUGAUUGGGCGUAAAGCGUCCGCAGGUGGCUGUGUAAGUCUGCUGUCAAAGAGCGAAGCUCAACUUCGUAAAGGCAGUGGAAACUACAUGGCUAGAGUGCGUUCGGGGCAGAGGGAAUUCCUGGUGUAGCGGUGAAAUGCGUAGAGAUCAGGAAGAACACCGGUGGCGAAG